GUUUUAUUCACUUUGUUAAGCAAUUUCUAGGGAGUCUACAUCCUGUAUCUGACAAAACAAAGUGCUGAAGGGAGAAGCACACAGGUUUGUGGAGUGUUGGAAUGAUUCUUCAGCUGCCUUGAGCUGAAUGUAGUUCCUAACAGAUGAAAAACAAUUUUUUUCACUUGAGAUAACUGCAAGCAGCCAAAUGAUUACAUUCAGACUUUCCAAAGCUUGAAAAUAUUUGCUUCUGAGUCACAGCCAAACAUGAGUAACUGCUGCCCAGAAGGGAUAUUGUUGUUUGGAAAGAGAGAGACAGCGAUAACUGAUUGCCAUGCUGAGCCUGGAAAUUCCAUCUCAACCUUAUCUUCAGCAUCAUGCUUUUGCAGCGCUCUCACGAGCUCCACCACUGCUGAAGCAGCAAUCCAGGAGCCACAGACUCACCUUUAUGAUGCAACAAACUGCUCCAACAAAAAUUGUGUAUUCUGGACUGCUUUUGAAAUACUGAUGCUAAACCCAGAGAGCCAUGACUGUCUACUGUUACAAGUAUUAACAAGGUAAAAGAAAUCAUGUUUUUUAAAGAAUUACUCUUUUUGUCACCUCCCAUGCUGCUCUGCUGUGGCAGUGGCAGCUCCUACAUUUAUAGCAGCAUCUUGGUUUGGAUGUUCUCUAAAUCAGAUUUCACCUUGAUAGCAGAUUUGUAACACGCUGAGUUGUUUUCCUCAAGCAGAGGUUCUGGAGCUGGAAAGAGGCAGCUGCACUGCACCCAGCCAGUACUAAACACUUCUAGAAAGCAUGGUACUACAGUCAUUCAUCUAUAAACCACCUCCAUAUAGGCUCCCCCAAGUUCCUCCUGCAGAUGUAUGCUUUUACCAGGACUAGCUAGCCCAGAUGUCCCUGUUCUUUGCUGGGACCUCACACCCACCCACUUCCCUUUCCUGAAACAGCAUGCCAAGGAGCAUGAUGGAUCACACAAGCCCAUGCCCAGACAUCUGUUUGCUUUCUGUUUGGAAAAACAGCUUUUCACAUUACAUAGCCCAGUGUGCAUGCCAUCAGCCAUCCGCAGUGUGUCUGUACUGUGAUGAUACAGGAGCCUCUUGUUGGCAGCACUCAGUGUUUUCAAAAGCACUUCAGUGUUGAGAGGUCUGAGUGCUGAGAGGGGUGGGUUGAACUGAGGAUAUGAACUGGUCACUCACUAGAAAUGUGAAGGGAAUUAAGGUGUGUGACUGUGAUGGGAUGCAAACUUUUAAUAGUAUUUGGUCCCUGGUUCUCACUGUGAGAGAACCAGAAGAGUGCAAAGGAAGAGUCAAAGAGCUGUGAAAUAAAUAUUCAUGAGGGGUGUGUAUGAUUCCCCUG
This 1335-nucleotide long non-coding RNA is filed under the name Cyanistes caeruleus (blue tit). Its description in RNAcentral is "lncRNA (ENSCCEG00000015290.1)". Lineage: Eukaryota; Metazoa; Chordata; Aves; Passeriformes; Paridae. The record is from RNAcentral.